RNAcentral lists this ribosomal RNA (497 nucleotides) under uncultured bacterium. RNAcentral's name for it is "partial 16S ribosomal RNA". It matches the Rfam family "Bacterial small subunit ribosomal RNA", at positions 28 to 507 of the family's 1533-position model. The record is from RNAcentral.
GAUGAACGCUGGCGGCGUGCCUAAUACAUGCCAGUCGAGCGAACAGACGAGGAGCUUGCUCCUCUGACGUUAGCGGCGGGCGGGUGAGUAACACGUGGAUAACCUACCUAUAAGACUGGGAUAACUUCGGGAAACCGGAGCUAAUACCGGAUAAUAUAUUGAACCGCAUGGUUCAAUAGUGAAAGACGGUUUUGCUGUCACUUAUAGAUGGAUCCGCGCCGCAUUAGCUAGUUGGUAAGGUAACGGCUUACCAAGGCAACGAUGCGUAGCCGACCUGAGAGGGUGAUCGGCCACACUGGAACUGAGACACGGUCCAGACUCCUACGGGAGGCAGCAGUAGGGAAUCUUCCGCAAUGGGCGAAAGCUUGACGGAGCAACGCCGCGUGAGUGAUGAAGGUCUUCGGAUCGUAAAACUCUGUUAUUAGGGAAGAACAAAUGUGUAAGUAACUAUGCACGUCUUGACGGUACCUAAUCAGAAAGCCACGGCUAACUACGUG